AUAAUAAGAAGAAAUCUUUCUCGGUAUCAAUCCCCUUGCCCCUCAUUCUUUGAGAAUCAGAAGGAUCCUUUUCGAGUUUCCAUUUUUUCAUUUGGAAUCUGGGCUCUUCUAUCUUUGACUUAA
This 123-nucleotide ribosomal RNA is filed under the name Triticum aestivum (bread wheat). Its description in RNAcentral is "partial small subunit ribosomal RNA". Lineage: Eukaryota; Viridiplantae; Streptophyta; Magnoliopsida; Poales; Poaceae. The record is from RNAcentral.